GACGAACGCUGGCGGCGUGCUUAACACAUGCAAGUCGAACGGAAAGGCCCUGCUUUUGUGGGGUGCUCGAGUGGCGAACGGGUGAGUAACACGUGAGUAACCUGCCCUUGACUUUGGGAUAACUUCAGGAAACUGGGGCUAAUACCGGAUAGGAGCUUCUGCUGCAUGGUGGGGGUUGGAAAGUUUCGGCGGUUGGGGAUGGACUCGCGGCUUAUCCGCUUGUUGGUGGGGUAGUGGCUUACCAAGGCUUUGACGGGUAGCCGGCCUGAGAGGGUGACCGGCCACAUUGGGACUGAGAUACGGACCAGACUCCUACGGGAGGCAGCAGUGGGGAAUAUUGCACAGUGGGCGGAAGCCUGAUGCAGCAACGCCGCGUGCGGGAUGACGGCCUUCGGGUUGUAAACCGCUUUCGCCGGUGACGAAGCGUGAGUGACGGUAAUGGGUAAAGAAGCACCGGCUAACUACGUG
Molecule: ribosomal RNA, 468 nt
Filed under: uncultured bacterium
Lineage: Bacteria
Description: partial 16S ribosomal RNA
Rfam family: Bacterial small subunit ribosomal RNA
Source: RNAcentral